Molecule: ribosomal RNA, 370 nt
Filed under: uncultured organism
Description: bacterial SSU rRNA
Rfam family: Bacterial small subunit ribosomal RNA
Source: RNAcentral
CGGGGGGGGCAAGUCGUUGUUCGGAACUACUGGGCGUAAAGCGCACAUAGGCGGAUCGAUCAGUCAGGGGUGAAAUCCCAGGGCUCAACCCUGGAACUGCCUUUGAUACUGUCGAUCUGGAGUAUGGAAGAGGUGAGUGGAAUUCCGAGUGUAGAGGUGAAAUUCGUAGAUAUUCGGAGGAACACCAGUGGCGAAGGCGGCUCACUGGUCCAUUACUGACGCUGAGGUGCGAAAGCGUGGGAGCAAACAGGAUUAGAUACCCUGGUAGUCCACGCCGUAAACGAUGAAUGUUAGCCGUCGGGCAGUAUACUGUUCGGUGGCGCAGCUAACGCAUUAAACAUUCCGCCUGGGGAGUACGGUCGCAAGAUUA